AUUGAACGCUGGCGGCAGGCCUAACACAUGCAAGUCGAGCGGAUGAAGGGAGCUUGCUCCUGGAUUCAGCGGCGGACGGGUGAGUAAUGCCUAGGAAUCUGCCUUGUCGCGGGGGAUAACGUCCGGAUACGGGCGCUAAUACCGCAUACGUCCUGUGGGAGAAAGUGGGGGAUCCUCGGACCUCACGCUAUCAGAUGAGCCUAGGUGGGAUUAGCUAGUUGGGGGGGUAAAGGCCUACCAAGGCGACGAUCCGUAACUGGUCUGAGAGGAUGAUCAGGCACACUGGAAGUGAGACAGGGCACAGACUCCGGCGGGAGGAAGCAGUGGGGAAUAUUGCACGAUGGGCGAGUGCCGGAUCCAGCCAUGCCGCGUGUGUGAAGAAGGUCUUCGGAUUGUAGAGCAAUGUAGGUUGGGAGGAAGGAAAAUAAUUUAAUACCUUGCUGUAUUGACGGUACCCGCAGAAUAAGCACCGGCUAACUUCGUG
RNAcentral lists this ribosomal RNA (484 nucleotides) under uncultured bacterium. Its description in RNAcentral is "partial 16S ribosomal RNA". It matches the Rfam family "Bacterial small subunit ribosomal RNA", at positions 30 to 507 of the family's 1533-position model. The record is from RNAcentral.